GAUGAACGCUGGCGGCGUGCCUAAUACAUGCAAGUCGAGCGAACGGACGAGAAGCUUGCUUCUCUGAUGUUAGCGGCGGACGGGUGAGUAACACGUGGAUAACCUACCUAUAAGACUGGGAUAACUUCGGGAAACCGGAGCUAAUACCGGAUAAUAUUUUGAACCGCAUGGUUCAAAAGUGAAAGACGGUCUUGCUGUCACUUAUAGAUGGAUCCGCGCUGCAUUAGCUAGUUGGUAAGGUAACGGCUUACCAAGGCAACGAUGCAUAGCCGACCUGAGAGGGUGCUCGGCCACACUGGAACUGAGACACGGUCCAGACUCCUACGGGAGGCAGCAGUAGGGAAUCUUCCGCAAUGGGCGAAAGCCUGACGGAGCAACGCCGCGUGAGUGAUGAAGGUCUUCGGAUCGUAAAACUCUGUUAUUAGGGAAGAACAUAUGUGUAAGUAACUGUGCACAUCUUGACGGUACCUAAUCAGAAGGCCACGGCUAACUACGUG
This 497-nucleotide ribosomal RNA is filed under the name uncultured bacterium. Its description in RNAcentral is "partial 16S ribosomal RNA". It matches the Rfam family "Bacterial small subunit ribosomal RNA", at positions 28 to 507 of the family's 1533-position model. The record is from RNAcentral.